Molecule: ribosomal RNA, 946 nt
Filed under: uncultured Bacteroidota bacterium
Lineage: Bacteria; Pseudomonadati; Bacteroidota
Description: bacterial SSU rRNA
Rfam family: Bacterial small subunit ribosomal RNA
Source: RNAcentral
UACGGAGGAUCCGAGCGUUAUCCGGAUUUAUUGGGUUUAAAGGGUGCGCAGGCGGGUAUAUAAGUCAGAGGUGAAAAACCACGGCUCAACUGUGGUCCUGCCUUUGAUACUGUAUGUCUAGAGUAUAGUUGGAGUGGGCGGAAUGUAGCAUGUAGCGGUGAAAUGCUUAGAUAUGCUACAGAACACCGAUCGUGAAGACAGCUCACUAAGCUAUAACUGACGCUCAGGCACGAAAGCAUGGGGAGCAAACAGGAUUAGAUACCCUGGUAGUCCAUGCCGUAAACGAUGAUUACUCGCUGUUGGCGAUACACAGUCAGCGGCUAAGCGAAAGUGAUAAGUAAUCCACCUGGGGAAUACGAUCGCAAGAUUGAAACUCAAAGGAAUUGACGGGGGCCCGCACAAGCGGAGGAGCAUGUGGUUUAAUUCGAUGAUACGCGAGGAACCUUACCUGGGCUCGAACGUAGUUGGACUAUGGGUGAAAGCCUGUAUUUCUUCGGAACCGACUACGAGGUGCUGCAUGGUUGUCGUCAGCUCGUGCCGUGAGGUGUUAGGUUAAGUCCUGCAACGAGCGCAACCCCUAUUCUUAGUUGCCAGCAUGUAAUGAUGGGGACUCUAGGAAAACUGCCUACGCAAGUAGAGAGGAAGGCGGGGAUGACGUCAAAUCAGCACGGCCCUUACGUCCAGGGCUACACACGUGCUACAAUGGCCGGUACAGAGGGCAGCUACACAGCGAUGUGAUGCGAAUCUCGAAAGCCGGUCUCAGUUCGGAUUGGAGUCUGCAACUCGACUCCAUGAAGUUGGAUUCGCUAGUAAUCGCAUAUCAGCCAUGAUGCGGUGAAUACGUUCCCGGGCCUUGUACACACCGCCCGUCAAGCCAUGGGAGCUGGGGGUACCUAAAGAUCGUGACCGCGAGGAGCGACCUAGGGUAAAACCGGUAACUGGGGCU